UAAGUUAGGGACAUCUUAGAUUUACCGGACAUGGUAAAGAAAAGGGGUUGUCUGAGGAAAAGAAAACUACAUAGCUUGAAGACAAGUUUCUUCAUGGGAAAGUCGGUUGCAGGAAUAUGCCAAAGGUUUGAAAAAAGGAUAGGGAGUGGUUUUUUGAAACCUUCAACUAACCGAAUGUUAAACCGUAUCAAAUCCGUCUACUUGUAUAUUUUGAACAAUGGAACUGUAACGACUCAAGAUCUUGUGGAAGAAUUUGGUAUAACUCCUCGUACCAUCCAAAGAGAUUUGAAUGUCCUGGCUUAUAAUGACUUAGUGAUAAGUCCCAGCCGCGGCAAAUGGACAACAACACAGAAGAAGAUAAAAAUGACAUCGUAAAUAAUUGCAUUAUGAUAGAAAAUUGAAGGAACUGGCCAAAA
Molecule: non-coding RNA, 416 nt
Filed under: Bacillus methanolicus MGA3
Lineage: Bacteria; Bacillati; Bacillota; Bacilli; Caryophanales; Bacillaceae
Source: RNAcentral